This 492-nucleotide ribosomal RNA is filed under the name uncultured bacterium. RNAcentral's name for it is "bacterial SSU rRNA". It matches the Rfam family "Bacterial small subunit ribosomal RNA", at positions 21 to 507 of the family's 1533-position model. The record is from RNAcentral.
GGCUCAGGAUGAACGCUAGCGGCAGGCUUAANACAUGCAAGUCAGGGGCAGCGCGAUGGUAGCAAUACAUUGGCGGCGACCGGCGCACGGGUGCGUAACACGUAUGGAAUCUGCCCUGUACUGGGGAAUAGCCCGGAGAAAUCCGGAUUAAUGCCCCAUAACAGACGAAGUGGCAUCACUUUGUCUUGAAAGCUCCGGCGGUACAGGAUGACCAUGCGCACGAUUAGCUAGUUGGUGAGGUAACGGCUCACCAAGGCUACGAUCGUUAGGGGGCCUGAGAGGGUUAUCCCCCACACUGGUACUGAGACACGGACCAGACUCCUACGGGAGGCAGCAGUGAGGAAUAUUGCGCAAUGGAGGCAACUCUGACGCAGCCAUGCCGCGUGCAGGAAGAAGGCGCUACGCGUUGUAAACUGCUUUUACCCGGGAAGAAACCCCUCUACGUGUGGAGGGUUGACGGUACCGGAGGAAUAAGCACCGGCUAACUUCGUG